CACCGGAGCUUGCUCCACCGGAAAAAGAAGAGUGGCGAACGGGUGAGUAACACGUGGGUAACCUGCCCAUCAGAAGGGGAUAACACUUGGAAACAGGUGCUAAUACCGUAUAACAAUCGAAACCGCAUGGUUUUGAUUUGAAAGGCGCUUUCGGGUGUCGCUGAUGGAUGGACCCGCGGUGCAUUAGCUAGUUGGUGAGGUAACGGCUCACCAAGGCCACGAUGCAUAGCCGACCUGAGAGGGUGAUCGGCCACAUUGGGACUGAGACACGGCCCAAACUCCUACGGGAGGCAGCAGUAGGGAAUCUUCGGCAAUGGACGAAAGUCUGACCGAGCAACGCCGCGUGAGUGAAGAAGGUUUUCGGAUCGUAAAACUCUGUUGUUAGAGAAGAACAAGGAUGAGAGUAACUGUUCAUCCCUUGACGGUAUCUAACCAGAAAGCCACGGCUAACUACGUGCCAGCAGCCGCGGUAAUACGUAGGUGGCAAGCGUUGUCCGGAUUUAUUGGGCGUAAAGCGAGCGCAGGCGGUUUCUUAAGUCUGAUGUGAAAGCCCCCGGCUCA
Molecule: ribosomal RNA, 561 nt
Filed under: Enterococcus durans
Lineage: Bacteria; Bacillati; Bacillota; Bacilli; Lactobacillales; Enterococcaceae
Description: bacterial SSU rRNA
Rfam family: Bacterial small subunit ribosomal RNA
Source: RNAcentral